RNAcentral lists this transfer-messenger RNA (358 nucleotides) under Spongiibacter marinus. RNAcentral describes it as "Standard tmRNA". It matches the Rfam family "transfer-messenger RNA". Rfam says of the family: Bacterial tmRNA, also known as 10Sa RNA or SsrA, is named for its dual tRNA and mRNA-like properties. Its role is to liberate the mRNA from a stalled ribosome. To accomplish this part of the tmRNA is used as a reading frame that ends in a translation stop signal. RNAcentral also lists the same sequence under 1 other name. Lineage: Bacteria; Pseudomonadati; Pseudomonadota; Gammaproteobacteria; Cellvibrionales; Spongiibacteraceae. The record is from RNAcentral.
GGGGCCGAUUUGGAUUCGACGCCGGUUACAAAACUCUGUGGUGCAUGCCGUGAGGACAGCGAAUCACGUAAAUCCAAAGCUGUUAACUUAUAGUUGCCAACGACGACAACUACGCUCUAGCGGCCUAAACCCCGUUAGCGGUUGCUACCGGAUGCUUGUAAACGGGACGCAACCGUCAGAUAGAACAAGCUAGCUGUGACGUUUGUCUGAGACCGAUCAGCGAAACCUUUAAUCAGAAUCGCCAACUACGUCCUGACCGUUGGGCUGUAAGCGGCUAAAUCAAUAAACGGAAGCUAAGCAUGUAGAGCCCCGAGCGGCGGACUGGCGGACGGGGGUUCAAUUCCCCCCGGCUCCACCA